RNAcentral lists this ribosomal RNA (502 nucleotides) under uncultured eukaryote. RNAcentral describes it as "bacterial SSU rRNA". It matches the Rfam family "Eukaryotic small subunit ribosomal RNA", at positions 472 to 971 of the family's 1831-position model. The record is from RNAcentral.
AAGUAAUACCGAUGCGGGACCCUACGGGUGCCGCGUUCGGAAUGAGUACGAUUCGAACCACCUAACGAGGAACGAUCGGAGGGCAAGUCUGGUGCCAGCAGCCGCGGUAAUUCCAGCUCCAAUAGCGUACGUUAAAGUUGCUGCAGUUAAAAAGCUCGUAGUUGAACGUUCGGGUUCCGCGGGACGGGGCCGCCCCGCGAGGGACGGCGCCGCCCCGGGGCUCGUGAUAUCUCAUCUCGCCGCCCGUCGCGAGGCGGACGGAGGGAUGGAUGAGGUUACCUGGAAAAAAUCGGGGCGAUCUAGGCGGGCGAACCUCGCCAACGAACGAUCGGACAUGGGAUAACGGAAGAGGGCGUCGGCUCGACUUCGUCGGUUCCUCGGGGCCGAGGCACGUACGGUGAAUAGGGGACGGUCGGGGCCGCCCGUACCGGGUCGUGAGAGGUGAAAUUCUAGGAUCGACCCGAGACGAACCGCCGCGAAAGCAUUCGGCAAGGACGCUUUC